UGGGGCAUAGCCAAGUGGUAAGGCAGGAGAUUCUGACUCUCCCAUUCGUGGGUUCAAAUCCUACUGCCCCAGCCA
This 75-nucleotide transfer RNA is filed under the name Clostridia bacterium. RNAcentral describes it as "tRNA-Gln". It matches the Rfam family "tRNA". From Rfam's summary of the family: Transfer RNA (tRNA) molecules are approximately 80 nucleotides in length. Their secondary structure includes four short double-helical elements and three loops (D, anti-codon, and T loops). The record is from RNAcentral. Lineage: Bacteria; Bacillati; Bacillota; Clostridia.